This 208-nucleotide ribosomal RNA is filed under the name uncultured bacterium. RNAcentral describes it as "partial 16S ribosomal RNA". It matches the Rfam family "Bacterial small subunit ribosomal RNA", at positions 568 to 774 of the family's 1533-position model. The record is from RNAcentral.
CUUGUAGGCGGUUCGGUAAGUCGGGUGUGAAACCUCUGGGCUCAACUCAGAGACGCCACCCGAUACUGCUGUGACUAGAGUGCGGUAGGGGAGCGGGGAAUUCCUGGUGUAGCGGUGAAAUGCGCAGAUAUCAGGAGGAACACCAGUGGCGAAGGCGCCGCUCUGGGCCGUAACUGACGCUGAGAAGCGAAAGCGUGGGGAGCAAACA